UACUCUGUGUCGUUGUAUCUGUCGAACUGCUUUGCUUUAUCUUGGCCAGGUCGCAAUUGUAAAUGAGAACUUGUUCUCAACUUGCCUACCUGGUUAAAUAAAGGUGUUCUCAACUUGCCUACCUGGUUAAAUAAAGGUGUUCUCAACUUGCCUACCUGGUUAAAUAAAGGUGAAAUAAAAAAAUACAAAUAAAAUUAGGAUGUAAGAGGUACUGUCCAUCACCACAGCAUUAAGAGGUACUGUCUAUCACCACAGCAUUAAGAGGUACAGUCUAACAUCACCACAGCAUUAAGAGGUACAGUCCAUCACCACAGCAUUAAGAGGUACAGUCUAACAUCACCACAGCAUUAAGAGGUACAGUCUAACAUCACCACAGCAUUAAGAGGUACAGUCUAACAUCACCACAGCAUUAAGAGGUACAGUCCAUCACCACAGCAUUAAGAGGUACAGUCUAACAUCACCACAGCAUUAAGAGGUACAGUCCAUCACCACAGCAUUAAGAGGUACAGUCUAACAUCACCACAGCAUUAAGAGGUACAGUCUAACAUCACCACAGCAUUAAGAGGUACAGUCUAACAUCACCACAGCAUUAAGAGGUACAGUCUAACAUCACCACAGCAUUAAGAGGUACAGUCUAACAUCACCACAGCAUUAAGAGGUACAGUCUAACAUCACCACAGCAUUAAGAGGUACAGUCUAACAUCACCACAGCAUUAAGAGGUACUGUCCAUCACCACAGCAUUAAGAGGUACAGUCUAACAUCACCACAGCAUUAAGAGGUACAGUCUAACAUCACCACAGCAUUAAGAGGUACAGUCUAACAUCACCACAGCAUUAAGAGGUACAGUCCAUCACCACAGCAUUAAGAGGUACAGUCUAACAUCACCACAGCAUUAAGAGGUACAGUCCAUCACCACAGCAUUAAGAGGUACAGUCUAACAUCACCACAGCAUUAAGAGGUACAGUCUAACAUCACCACAGCAUUAAGAGGUACAGUCUAACAUCACCACAGCAUUAAGAGGUACAGUCUAACAUCACCACAGCAUUAAGAGGUACAGUCCAUCACCACAGCAUUAAGAGGUACAGUCUAACAUCACCACAGCAUUAAGAGGUACAGUCUAACAUCACCACAGCAUUAAGAGGUACAGUCCAUCACCACAGCAUUAAG
Molecule: long non-coding RNA, 1168 nt
Organism: Oncorhynchus keta (chum salmon)
Lineage: Eukaryota; Metazoa; Chordata; Actinopteri; Salmoniformes; Salmonidae
Exons: 3
Source: RefSeq, a predicted model, not a curated record